GUGUGUUACUAUAAUCAGAAGAACUGUAUCUCCAGUUCCUUUGUUUGGUUUUUGCUGGUUCGUGAAUAAUGGCUGGACGACGUCUCGCGUUCAACUCGCCUUCAACUCCUCUCCACGGUCACCAACUUUCGGCCAGUCCGCAGACAGACGAGAAGAAACUGCUGAAUGCUCUCAGUGGAUCGUCUCGUCAACUCCAACAACAAACUGCCGAUAUCAACGAGCGGUUCGCCCCACUGGAGCGUUCGGGACUCUCCGGGUUUCUGUCCAUGGAGGAGAGGAUGGCGGCUCUGGAGGAACUGACUCAAAGAAGAGGAGACGGGCGCACAAUCCCAAGAUAGCGGAAGCGGUGCGCCGUCUUCACAACUCCGAGACAAACUACAGGCGCCACGAACCGGAGCAAGGACUAAUCUCGCCUCAUAAUGAGGCGGUGACCUCGUAUUUGCUCCGGGAAAAGUCCAGAUUUAGACAACGUCAUUGUGUGUAAGUGACACUGUUUACUGUUUCUCCUUCCUUGUUAAAUGUUACUGUCACUUGCGUUUGAUUUUUUUUUAUUCAUACCACACUCAUUUAAUUGUUUUCCAUCCGCCUGUGAGACGUAUUGUGAGACGGGACGCAGGAGCUUCAGGUUUUCCCAGCCGGAACACUCAUUGCGGGCGGAAGCUGCGAAGGAUUCAGCGCGGAGUCGAGCGAGAAGAAAGAGGGUCAGACACUUUUUUCAGGUGCAUUGAUAGAUGUGUUGUGUCCAUACGCAUCGCAUCGCACAGUACUGAUUCAUUGUUGUUUUUACAGCUGCUAGAAUCGAGACAAAGUGUGCUGGCUGAUGACGAGGUGGAACUCUGGAAAUCCACCACCGUAGAGCUCACGUCGGACGGAGAGGACGGCGUUGUUGGCGGGGUCUCGGGGUGGAUUGUACGGUCGCUGCUAUUUCUGAGUCAGUCCCGGUUAGAGGCGACUCAGAAAUACAGAUCCUCACACAUUAGGCGCCUGCACAACAGACCUGCCUCGGAAAACACGGCGCCAGUGACGGUCUACAACCCCAAGGAGGCAAACGGACAGUUUACAGAGCUGUAGUUUUUUAAACCGCCUUUACCCAAGUGUGGGCAGAUCCUCACUUUGUAUGUAGUUGUUGUUUGUAUGUUGUCAAUAAAGCUCUUUCUUUGCAUAAACAUGUGGCAAAUGUUCAUUUUAUCUAUAAAUUCAUUGAUGUCCUGGUUGGUAUCCUAAUAAUAGUGUAGUAGCCUACAUAGGAUAACCAUGAAAUGAAUAUACAGCAUAAUAUGAAUAUAUAAAUAAAAUGAGGCGGGUGACCAAUAGCGACAGAUCUGCCAACCAAUCACGAGUGAUUGAAAGUUGUGGUUUCAUCCAAUCAUGAACGAGGAAACUCAAGCCUGGUCUGCCCAGGUGUGGUUUUGCUGCCAAUCACGAGUGAUUUUAUUUGUUAGUAAGUUGUGGUUUCAUCCAAUAAGGAGUAAGGAUAUUCAAGCCCGCUCGGCUCGGCCACCCGCGUUUUCGCUGCAUUCAUAUGCUAAUUCGGGCCAUUUGCACAUCUGCCAGCUCUCCACCUACGUCAUGGUUCGUUUCCGACAAUUUGUGGCACAGACAAACGCGACAUGUGCGGGUUGCAAAUUGUCGGAAAUUAGGGAGAUUUCCGGGCGUUUACGGGGACGAAAAUCUCACUUUUCAUGCAGUGUAACCCCGACCAGGCUCCAAUUAUUGAACACAUAUUCUUACAGUAAUGUACACUUUAUUACGUUUGUAACUAGCUUUCAUUCUAAAUUGAAUUCCUUGAAAGUUAGCGGGAAGGAGUUGCGUUACUCGCAUUCUUCCAGCUAACGUUGCAUUCGGAGGAAAAGAGACGACGAUUCAGAUGAGCCAUCUUUAGCCGUCUUCGGCAUAUUUAUUUUACGAGCUGCCGCUGACACAUCAGUCUCACGGUCAGACAGCUUUCAUAGCUUCUUCAUAUAAAACGGCAAAACAUUUUGGGACAAACAAAACAGCAAUGCAAACGAGUGCCCCCUUGUGGCUCAUGCACAACACAGAUCAGCACUGUACUACACCAUCACCACAACUGAGGACAUAAUGAACAUAUCCCAACAGAAGGUCUAACCGUUUCUCAAAGACUAAAACCUGGUUUAUACUUCUGCGUUUUCAGAGCGACACAGACGCAAGACCCCCUUGCGUGUCCCUCGCAUCGCUUUUCACACCUCUUUGCGUCCUUGCGUGUGUCAAGACAUUUUUCUAGGCUUGCGUCGAAAGCGACGCAAGCAACGCAAGCCUCCACCGGGCUGCGAUUGGUCCGCUAACUACGUCCUUUAAAUGAAGAAUGUUUACGAGAGAACGGAUCAGAUUGAAGAACUUUUGUUUCGGAAGAAAUGCGUAAAUAUGACCGCUUAUACAAGCCGUCAUUGGUGGGUUGUAUAAGCGGGUUGGAUUCAUGGAGGGAGAUCGCCGCAAACGCCGGUUUGCCGGUCGAGAGGUGGGCAAAGUUGUGGAGGAAAAUACGGGACAAAUGUGUCCGCGAUGAAAAGCAGCAGUGGCGAUGCACGGGGCAAUAAAGUCUAUGAUAAAUAAAUAAACAAAUAAAUAAAUAGAUGUGACUCUCUAGGUCGUCUUCAACAAAACACGUCACUCCGCCUGUUGUUCUGGCGGUGAAUUGCUCUGCAACACACGCAGAACCAUGAAUUGAAACGAGUGCGUUGACGCAACGGCGCAGACGCAAACGCAGAAGAAUGCGCCAGCCUUAAGGGCUAGCUAGCAAGUGGCAACCAUGUUAGCUUCGAAAGUUACGGUUAUCAAGUGGGACCCAGGUUAGCCUUACGUUUUAUGAUUGUACAUUGUUUUCAUCGUAAAUUUAAUUCCUCGCAAGUUAUGGGAAGGUACACAUGUUUCAACACAUAUUAGCACUGCUAACACAUCUCACAAACAGCAUCAGCUAGCAUCUGGUAUCUAGCACUUGUUUUAGUGUGAUGCAACUGAAAUUAACUUACCCAUGGUAGUUGGCAACUGAACACCCGAAUCUAAGCGUUGUUUGUUUGUUUUCAGCAGCAGUCUCUUUCGACUUCCGGGUCACAAUCUGGGAGGAAUGAGGGCGACGGGAUUCACAAUCUGGGAGGAAUGAGGGCGGCGGGAUCUCAAGCAUGCGCAAAGACGCAAAGUCCAGAUUCCGGAUCGUAGUCGGACCGCACAUAGUCGGACAAAGGUGUUUACAUGAAACGGAUAAUUCAGUCCGACUAAGCCAGUUAUUCGAAUCCAUGUAACCACGCUGACUGUUUCCGAGUUCGCUGGUGGAGACAACAGAUGGGCACUAGGGAUGGUCAAAAGGACUGACCUGGGGCCUGUUGGUUGCUGAGACCAGCGGCUCCUCAGCUGAGAUGUUCUUUUUACCACAACACCAUUCUUUUAUUAAAUACAUUUGAUUUUAACCUUUUGAUCUGCAAUGACCUCUGUCCGUCCGGCG
Long non-coding RNA from Gasterosteus aculeatus aculeatus (three-spined stickleback), 3457 nucleotides. NCBI's taxonomy places the organism in Eukaryota, Metazoa, Chordata, Actinopteri, Perciformes, Gasterosteidae. The record is from Ensembl.